Molecule: ribosomal RNA, 320 nt
Filed under: uncultured eukaryote
Lineage: Eukaryota
Description: partial 18S ribosomal RNA
Rfam family: Eukaryotic small subunit ribosomal RNA
Source: RNAcentral
CCCCUAGAUGUUCUGGGCCGCUCGCGCGCUACACUGAACAGUUCAACAAGUCUUAACCUUGGCCGAUAGGUCUGGGUAAUCUUUGAACGCUGUUCGUGAUUGGGAUAGACCUUUGCAAUUAUGGGUCUUCAACGAGGAAUUCCUAGUAAACGCAAGUCAUCAGCUUGCAUUGAUUACGUCCCUGCCCUUUGUACACACCGCCCGUCGCACCUACCGAUUGAAUGGUCCGGUGAAAUCUCGGGACGGCGGCUCGGUCGCUUGCGUCCGACUGCUGAAACUUGAUUAAACCAUAUCAUUUAGAGGAAGGUGAAGUCGUAACA